CCCCCCCGCGCCACGAGGGAUCCAUCGGCAACGAUCGAACGUCGAUCCACCACCACCUUCGAUCGAGCGUUGCGCGGAGGCUCGUCGGUCGUUCGUUUCGCCACACCGUCACCCGUCUUCUCGCGAGUUGGUUGUUUAUCAUCGCGGAGGGAGCAUCGUACGACCUCGCCAGGGUGUUUUCGCGCGGUGACGGAACGUGUCGGAGCACAGUCAGCUAAGCGCCGGUGGUCCGAGCCAGGUUUCGCGAUACGCGAUACACGUCCGCGAGCAGUGGGUGAGAAGUGGUGGCAAGUGAACCCCGCGAAUUAUUCUCGCGAAAGAAAUCUCCGCGCGUGAUUACGACCCUCCGCGACUCCGGAAGGAUACGCGCUCCCACGGGCCGGGAAGGGGGGUGGGGAGGGCAGUCAGUGAAAAGAGAAACAGUGAUACGGGGACAGAGACAGGGAUAAAGAGAGGAGGUGGUGGCGGUGACUGGGAAGAGAGGGAGAAAGAAAGAGUGAGAGAAACCCGUUAAGGCGGUACGAGUAACGUGUCGGUAGAAGUUCUUGCGAUUGAUAGAGGGACCGAGAGAGAGAGGAACAGAGCGAGGUCGACGAAGGUAAUCGGUAGCAUCAACCUGCGUGCUUCGACAAGACCGAUUAAAGGCGAGCGAACGACGAUCCUUUCGUCUUCUUUGUCGCUAAUUCCCUUCGUCGAAGGCGUUUCGUCGAUCGUCUCCUAACCGCCGAUCGGAUUCACCCAGGAUCAUUCGCAGUGUAACGAGUACCCUCGGCGAUAUAUCGGACACGGGAAGUCAGAAACGAUUCGGUCGGUCGUUUUCAUUCAGGAUACAUCGAACGUCGCCUCGAUGCUACCUCGUAAACCAAUCCCGUGGUUUCCUAUCUUCGCGAACAAGCCGUUCUGACUACCGCGAGCUGGUUCCUUCGACCGUGUCGUUGAUUGCUCCAUCCUACCGCGGAAGAACCGCUGCCACGGCGGUCAGCGAUAAUGCGAGAGUACCGAAAACGCGGUACAAGGACGGUAACAGAGGACCAGUUGCCGCAUCCUCGGUGUUCGGCGAGAAGCUUCCAAGCGAGCCUGUGUUCGGCGAAACCGGAGUAACCAUGAGGUGGUCAUCGUAUUCUUCCAUCGUAGACGCGCCUUUUCACUCUUGCGACUGCCACCGCGACCAAACGAAUCGCCGGUGGCUCUGAUCCAGCUGAUCAUCGACGGGUGUACAAGUUCGCCGGACACGGAGGCCGACGUGGAAAACGAUAGAACGAGCAAAGAUACGAGCGCCAGCGAUAUCGAGAUAAAAGCGAGGAAGCGGCGCGUAGAUAAGAAGGAGGGCUCGGAAAGGAGUGUGGAUGAGACCGUCAUGCCCGCUGAGAUCGACACGGGCGGGCCAAGGGUGCUGCACUGUGAUUACCGUGCCGACUGCCCGAUACCGAUCGUAGCCUCAGCUUCCACCGAGUCUUCCUUGCGCCGCGAUAAUAGAGCCGUUCGAGCCUCCAUCGCGCGACGACUACCGCGGAUCGAUUCCAACGAAUCGCUCGACGAAGAAGCUACGAAGUCUCGUCGUUGCUCCGUUUUGCCAUCGAGACGAGCAGGAUCGAGAGGAUUCCAAAGAACCGAGCCAAACGUUCCUAGGCUUGCCGAUGCGUCGCAAGCCAUCCGAGAUGAUCGCGAUGACUCUUGCCUGGAACUGCCAGAGUCCAGGCUCCGCGGUGUCGUCGACGAGCACGCGGAGAAUUCAGUGACAAAGCGUUGGCGAUUUCGUGCUUUCGAUCCCACGAGGAAUCGAUUCCCGAGCGGGAACGACGGGGAACGGGGCUGCUGCUCUAAACGCGAUUUCUCGGCCGAGAACUGGCCGCAGGUCCACGCAGCGGAUUGCGUGCGAAUAGGGAAGGCAUUGUUCUCUAGUCAGUCGAGCGACCGAACCUACGAGAAGCUCGUUCCAGGGAGCGUGCUUCCGUCCUUGGUCGAUGAAACGUGGAAGGAAGUGGACUCGACGAAUUCCUGGAGACGUGAGUCGUGCGUCGCCAAGGUCGCGCCGAGCGUUCGCCAGACCGAGUUUCCUCGUGACGACGGGUCCACGAGGUGUCCCCGGGGAACGAGGAAGAAGAGACGCGAGUGUCCAAACAGCCGUUCGUCGUACAUUCGGUUAGCCUUUCUCCUGUUCCUCGUCGCGUUCGGGCAGUGCGGGCUCCGUAAAUCGAGCGUGUUCAACUGCAGUGCGAGACCGAGUACCGGCGUGUUGAGUGUAUUCGCGAUUGGCACAGUUAUCAGUGCAGUGAGUGCCGCGCCGGUUGAUUUAACGGGCGAUGCCGGCGUGAGGGCCGAACGAUCCGCCAAUUUGUCCCACAUCACCGGCGCUUCCAGGAAAAUACAGAUGUACAUCAAGAAUCGACAUCUACAGAUCCUGCCGGAUGGCACGGUGAACGGAUCCAACGACGACACGUCGGAUUACAGUGAGUACUGCGCUUUCGAUUAUUUAUGUGACGUCCACCUCGCGCUCUCCACGGGAGUAAUCGUUCGCGACCAGUCGCGGAAAACUGUCGCUAAACGGAAACCUCUCUCGUGCUAGAGAACUGCUCUUGGUUUAUCGCAGGUUAUUGCAAAGUUCAUAGCACUUGGACGAAGUAGGCCGUGUGCGAGAUACGGUAGAGACUGAAUGAUUUCGUCUACACCGGCGUGUCCCGUGGAUAUUUUAAACUAUUCCUUGAAAAACGAUCGGAAUCGCGAAAUCAAACCUUUGUCGAUAUCUGCUGGGAUCGAUGAACGAUAGGGGUUAUUUAAAAAAUCAAUAUUAGACGAGAUGCGUGUACAACAUUUAUUGCGUUAGUCGGUCAAAUUAUAUCAGAUUGUCCGAAAAGUUUCUUUCGUUUUAUUGAUAAGUAAUACAUGCACGAUAUUUUAUGUCCAAUGUUACGUUAUUGAAUUGCGUACGAUUCAUUUUGCUCCAUUACUGUUACACCGUCGACAUCCAAGAAAUUAGAUUGUCUAUUUAUAUAAACACUACCGCGCAAAAUAAUUGAGUGGAAAUUACGAAAGAAACUUUCGGGACAACCUAAUACUUGACUUUUGGAAAAGAUUUAUUCGACAGAACCACUGAUAAUCGCCAAUAACGUGAUGUACAAAUGAAAUACUAGAACACCUUUAGGAAAAAGCCUUUACAAGUGGUCCGAGAAGUUUGAGUGUUGGUUCGUUUACGAUCGACGUCAGCUGUUUCAAAUCCUACAGAGUUCGGAGACUCCGCUUGGACGGACGUGUUCGAUAUCCCAAGUUCCCGAUUGUGCAUUCGAGACGAAUAAAAAUCGUGGAAUUUCAGCAUUCCGUACGGAACGUCGCGUCAUCGGCUCGCUGGUGGAGAUUAGCAGGCUAGCAAAUUUGGAAGUUAACGCGCAACGUGAACGAGAGCUCUUGCCGAGAUCCCCUCGAGACUUUUACUAAGAAAAUUAAUUGGACACCUUAUCGAACUUCAUUAAGAUAAACGCUCCGGUACCGAGAUCCAUUGAUUACGAAGAGUAGGUGAAAAUACCGCGGGAUUGUAAAUGCUGGUUUAAUUACUGAAGCUUUUCGAGGAUUUCGAACGUAUCUAACGAUUAGGCUUAAUAACAUUACAUAUUCGGGGUUUUUAAGUCCGUACGAAACGCGAUACUUUGCAUUAAUUUUA
This is an RNA transcript of Hylaeus anthracinus, 3655 nucleotides long. RefSeq lists it as uncharacterized. The record is from RefSeq and is a predicted model, not a curated record. The transcript is spliced from 2 exons. NCBI's taxonomy places the organism in Eukaryota, Metazoa, Arthropoda, Insecta, Hymenoptera, Colletidae.